UCCUCCCCGGCACGGCAGGAAGUGCGGCGGGCGCUACCUGCGCCGGGAAUUUGACCCCUCCGCAGGUCGCAGCCGUCCCCGGUCCCAGGCCUUCCCCCCGCCGGCCUCCUCCUGGCUCCGGGUGCCGCGGGAGGCUCCGCGGCAGCAUCCCGCAGCGAUGCCGGAGCGAGCGGGCACGGCCGAAGGCAGCAGCCCCCCGUUUCGCCGACCGCAUCGGUUCAGUGGGAAAUAGCCCAAUACCACGCUUACUUAUUUCUCGAUUUUUUUAAACAUAGGCCGGCUGUGAAUGCAUGAGCACCGGCAAUCGAAACGGCACGUGGCAUCGUCUCACGCGCAGGGAAACUGAGGCACGCCGGGAGGAGCGGCUCGCCGAGGCCAGCACUGAACGCAGGGGCCCCGUUUGCUUGCACGAGCCCCCCGGGCGCACGGGGCUGCGGCACGUCUGCCGACGCGGGUGUCCGAGCGGGGACGCCGGGGCCCGGCUGCCGGGGAAACGCGGGGCCAGAGGAGCUAAAUCCUGCAAAUCCGCUCGCUUCGUUGCGUUUGCAAGGGGGAGAGAGGGCUGAACCACACCUCUCCUCCAGGACGGGAUGAAAAAAUAGCAGUACUUACAGAACCAGUUCCACCCGAACGGGAAAAUAUUCAGCGUUAAAUUACGUCAGUGCUUUCCUUAACCCCUGCUUAGUCCUGGCCGCGGGACCCGCGGCUGCAGCCCGUGGGCAGACAAGCCGGGGAGACGGGGGGCCGAGGGGGGCUGCCCCCCACGGCCGAGGCUGGAGGUUUAGGAUGAAGAGGUGGUUUCUGACCCGCCGAACGCUGCGUGGGGAGGCCGGUCUCCCCCGGCUGCACCCAACGCUUGCUCAUCCCCACCGCGACCUCCGGCCAAGCCACCGAGGUGGCCCCGCGCCGGCAGCACCCAGCCCGACGCCGAAGCUCCCGCCGAGCCGAUCCCGGGCGAGCGGCCCAAGCUCCCGGCGCUCCUCCCCGGGAGGGGAGGCACGUGAUUAAGCGGGCAGGAAGGUCGGCGCUGGCGUGUCGGCUCUUGCUCACCUACCGUGGACCUCUGCUUGGCCAACCAGCGUUACUCGCGCCUGCAACACCACCCUUCUCGCUCCUUCUCCAACACACGGGUCUUCUUCUGAGACCUCUUCCUGCUCCUAAUCCUGGAGCGCAGCAGCUGGCUGGGAAAACGAGCGACCAAGAAGCUCCUGCAAAGAUUUAUGUAUCUCCAUCCGUGUUUUCAUCCCUUCUGUCUCUAAAAGGGCAGUUUAAGGCGCCGGUGCAGCUCGACAUAAGCCCACACAGCUCUGCUUUGGGAGGUGAUUGAGCCUGGUCCUAAACCCGCUAGAUUUCUUGCACCAUAAACUUCAAAUUGUCUCCGUUUUCCGCAGGACCAAUUAUUAUUUUUAAGCCCUUAUUUUUCUAGUGCUGCCCCUCUUUCCUCCCAAAUGUAGUAGUUAAGAACACGAGGACAAAGGUGCCGGACAGAACAGCAUUUCCCGCGAAAAUAAGAUUUCUAAAGGGGAAGGAGGAAAAGAAAGGCUGCUUUUGAGAAAAGCCACCAGCAUCUUAAAUUGAAAAGCUGCAUUUGCAUUGCGGUGACAACUGCUUUCAUACAGCCCAGCUUGGGCAUCGGGUACAAGCACAAAAACAGCUCUAACGACAAGGGGUAGCAUGGCCCGGAAACCAGCAGAUUUAACCCAAACGACAUCCCGGGGCAGAAUAUGAGCAAUUCCAGAAGAAAAUACCCCAAAAGGCAGCCACGCGGUGACGGCGCGAGCAUAAUAACAGCAUCCCGCGGCUGAAGAGGAGGCACGGCGACGCUUGAGGCAGGGCCGGUAUUUCCCAGGAUAAGGGGAAGCGGCCGGCGCUCCUCGCCGACGGGAAGACGACCCGGCCCAGGCCGGCGAGAGGAAGCUGGGGAUGAACGAGUGUAUUUUUGCCCGUUGAGUCACUUCCGGCGGACCCGGCUCGGCGCUCGCGUUGCCGCGCGUUUCGCCUCGGAGAGGUCGCGGCUGCUCCGGGACGCAUCCGUCCAGCCCGCGGCCGGCUCGGGAAGGCGGCGGGGCGGCUUGGACGGCCGCACGGGACCUACCCCCUGCCACCUCCACGCUCACACCACCUCUGUCACCGCGGGCCAGCAGCCGCAGCCAGCUCGGUGCCGCGAGUACGGCCGCGCCGGUCCUGCGUUUUCCUCGCUUCCCAUUUCGCUCGUGUUUUUCCCAAGUUAAAGCGAGCCGGCGCAGCUGCCUUUCGCGCGCGGGGCUCCCCGGCUGCCCUCCAGCCAGAGGAGACCUCAGUUCACACGGCAAUUAGACGAUUUGCAGGAGAAAAAGCCACCCAGGGCAAUUAGACGUGAAAAACUCCCGUUUGCAGGAGGCUGGUGCCUGCGACAGCAGAUGGCCAGAGCGCCGGUGCCGGGAGGAAAAGCCUCGCUCGUGCCCUUGCUCGGUGCCUUUCCUUAGGCACCUGCUGCGGCUUGUUUCCGAAGAGCCCCGACGAGCCUUUGCAGAGGGUCAGCAUCGCACCCGGGCACCGCUCGCGCCUCGCUGGGGCCGGUCCUUUCCAAGCUGGAUCCGCUCUCCAGAACAGAGCUAGGCAUAAAAAACAAAUUGCUGCAAGCCACUAACAAAUAUCCAUCGCCUGGAACAAGAAAAUGAGGAGACCUCUUAAAAGCAAGGCACACGUGCCCCUUACCCUCUGCUUUAUUGAAACUACAAAUACACGUUUUCGCUUGCUUUUUGCUAUAGAACAUUUCUUCUCCUGAGAUGGAAAAGCAACACGAGAUGGAAAAGCAACAGCAUUACCCUGACACUGCAUCAAGGGCAGCAGCGACCUUUAAAAACAACGCGAGCGUCAUAUCUGAAAGGAGACCCUCGAGGCCAAGGACACCGUUCCCUCGCUCUGCAGGAGCGCCCGGACCCCCUGAAAGGGGAGAAAUCAUUCAAGAGGCUACGUCAGGAAAAUAUGAUGCUAAAAAGCUAAAAAAGCAAACAAAAAAAAUAGACUGCAGCACGCCGGUUUUAAGGUAAUAACGUGAAUCAACUCACGGCCGCCCCGGCAAGGCCCAGGGUGGGCACCGUGGUGGGAAAGCUGCCUCCGGCCCCGGCUCCUUCCCCGCUCUGACUGCGCUGCAAAACGAAGCGAGAAGCCGUUUCAGAGCAGAGCCGGUUCCUUCCUUCAGCUCCUCGUUCAAAACAAACUUUUCUUCAAAUUGACACAUUUUUGUCAAACACUUCACUUUUGACAAAUUGGUGUUAGCGCGAGAAAAGCGCUCGGCUGGGGAAUUUCCAAGCACUCUGGGAAGCAUCAGUCUCGUUUUACAGACGUGGAAAAAAACCCCCAAAAGUGUGACAGCGGCGAGGUCGCACGCCUCCCACCCCGCCGCAACGCCGGGCGAUGGGAGACCCUGAGCUCCAAGGGCUCGGUGCCACCCCGGCGCUCAACUGCCCCUGUUUCUCCACCAAAAGGGUGCUGCUCCUGCUUUAUACCACGGCGAAGAGGUCUCAGAAGAGAGGGAAUUUGGUUAAAAAGAGAAAACAAAUAAAAAUUAUCCUAAUCAGCAUUCAAAGACAGUCACUGGAAAAAAGGAAAGGGAGGGAGCACGUGAUGCAUGGCUGGGCGUCAUUGUGGAGCGCUUCGUCUUUAUCUCCUAAGGAUAAAAAUCCACCACCAAGUUCAAGAGGGGACGUAAAGAUACUGCAGUGCCAGAGCUCAGGGGCUGCUAUGAAAGCAACACGACGACUCACAUAUUUAAUAAAAGAUGUCAGAUUUAGGCUUCAAAUGUGUACGACGGUGCCCUGGUCCGGAGAAUAAUUUAAGUUUCACGUUAAUAAUACGAAAGGUCCCAACUAGUUUCGUGUUGUUUAAGUGCUUUUUUCUCAGCAGUCACGAGUGCCGGAUCUUCAGGCGGCAUAAAUCAGGACGGCUCUUUCGCCUGAGGGCAGCUAUCCUGAUUUACACAGGCCAAAGGCCUGCUGUAAGAGGAUGGGAAAAAAACGUAUUUUAAAUGGAGCUCAGUCCACUUGUGCCAGCAAAAUAUGUGUUUGUGUUAGCUACAUAUUUCUUUUCUUCCCCGGGGAAAAUCUAAAUAAAUAAAGCACUGGAAAGAACUGGCAAUCAAAUCAUACCAAAUGAAUCCAUCCUCAUGAAAAACAAGCGAGCAAAGCAGGAUAAUGUUACCCAAGCUCACUUUAGAAAUGAUUUGUUCGUUUUAUUUGUAGGCAUUUCCGUAGCUGCUCAUCACCAUAACGCCUGAGCAGAAAAGGCAGCAGCCGCUUUUGUCGUUGUCCAGAUACUUAAUCUCGAGAGUCUAUUUGCACGGAUUUUGUGUUUCCAGGCUGUUCAUACCAUCUUGCUCAAUGUCCACCCUCCAGCUGACAUCAGCGGAGAGCAAGGGACUUUUUAGUGGGUAGAAAGGGAUUGCACGGAAAGGGAAGCCAAGCACCAAACCUUUGGGGAAGUUCAGCCCCCUCCACGCAACACCGGCACAGCAGAGGUGUAGGAAGAGUUUCAACCAGCAAAGAGCGGAAAAGGCAACAAGAAGCUGUCCCACCAGCGCACGAGCAAACGCGAAGCAGUUGCUUCGGUCUUUGCAACGAGGUAUUAAUUACACAGCAAUCAGAACGCAAAUGGAGACUGGAGCGGUCACUUGGGACACGUCUGUCUCUCCACGAGCCACCGCGAGCUCACACGGUGGUUGCCCUCCAUGGAAAACUGCAUCCGUUUCACACUGCGCCUAUAUUUAGGUGCAGUUCCCAAGGGCUCCUUCUCCACGGCCAAGACAAGCAGCAAAACGAACCAGCCCAAGAGCACACCAGAAGAGAGAGAGCAGACAAAUCCUGGAGCCAAGUGUCCGAAUGCCACCCCACCAGGUGCCUGCCUGGGAAAAAACGGAGCAAAGGAGGGAGACGAAACAGAAAAGCUUGGAUCAGAGAAGCAUCAGGACCAUGCAAUGCUCUUCAGUGUCAGUUCACUCCUGGCAACGCUCCUCCGUGUUGAGUCCACCCGAGUCUCCUCUACUUGAGCUUGCAGAAGAAUCCACAGUCUAAGUAAAAGGCUUGCUCUUGUUUCAUCUAGUUUAAUACAGUAGCAUCGACUGACCCAGAUACACUUGAAAACGUAAGGAAUAAUUUUAUUAACCAGGUUUGAAUUUCAGCUGAUUUCUACUGCGUGUUGGUUUUGCUCUCAGUGUAAUUCUUCCACGAUUGCAAUCCUACACCUCCAUCCAUCGGGAUUUAAUUUCGAGGAGGCAAAGGUAAGCGCAGACACAGCUGCACCGUUUACACUGGGACUGCCAAAUAACGAAGCCGAGGGUAGGAGACGUCUGGAUCUGUGAUGCUUGCUCGGUCCCAACCGAUUCACAGAUCACUGGACCAGCAACAUUCGUCAUUGCCCUGAGACUCACCCGAAAGCCUGCAACGUGCAGGGGAACGGGACAAGGUGCUCAGCACGGCCAGCGGCGAGCUUUACAAUAUUGAUGAGGGACUCAGAAACGUGGGCACUCUUCGAGGACUUUGAACUUCUAAACCCCAUCAGAAUCAAUAUUUUUCCUCUUAAAAAACGCUGCGAGAAAAGUACAUCUAAUAGAGAUUCAGUGUUAUUCUGCAUUUUACAUUAUUCAUUGAAUCUCAUCCUAUGUCAUGCUGCAGCGCAUAUAUUACCAUACGUGAUGACAAAGAAAUUACACUACUGCAAAUACACGAUAAAGCAGCAGCCUUGGCUACUAACUGCACACCAAACUGCCAAACUCUAAUUAGUAAUAUGUAAUUAAGCUCACAUACACGGAGGUUGUGCCAGUGGCUUUACAGAAGCCCCAGGACCAGGCUCAGGACCGGCCUCAUUUUCCAGGCAAGCGACAGCGCAACGAAGCAAGAGGAUACCUAUACAUACAAUUAAAUGUAUACAUCGAAUAUUGCAGCACUAUCAUUAAUUACAAAAAAUUCUCACUUCUUCUGAAUCCCACCCAUCUUGGCCUCAGCAAAUACGUUGCCCCAAGGAGGUUUCCUUUCGAAGGGAAGGAGGGAAGGUCGUCCCUGGCACGCUGCCCCGAUGGAAAUACCCAAAAAGAAGAAAGCCUACCAGGAAAGGCUAAUAAUUUAUAUACAUGCAUACGUUAUAUAUGUAAAACUGUGCUUCUGUUUCUAAAAUCAAACUAAUUUGCAUCCUCAAUAACAUGCAUGGUGUGAAUGGGGUUGAAGGCAGGCAAGAAUUUGGACACACUUUACUAACCAGACGCUAGUGCCUCUUUUUGAAGCCGCACUUGAGCUUUCACCGAGAGUUUCAAAUAGGCAAUUCUAAUGAUCCCUCUUCAUUAACGACCCGGUUCCCUCUGCAGUUGAAUGCACGUUGAAAAAAUCCAGGGUAGAAAAUGUCCUUUUACAAUAUCAACUUUGAAAAGGCGCAAUUUGCCAUUUGCCUGCUUUUCUGGCCAUCUAAAAACCGCAAACUGAUCCUAGCGAAAGUUAACCAUAAUCUCGAUUUAAUAGUGCAAUCCUAUGGCUGCUCUAGGGCAGAAUUCAGCCAAAUGAAGGUAAACGCGUGGACGGACGCAACAAGCCACUACCACGAUACUACUUGAGGCUGUGAAAAGCAACAGGGUUUGCGGGUGUGCACAAGUGAAGAUGGCAAGCGGCAAUGCAGAACGAUGCGAGAAGAUGGUUUCUGGUUGUUUAUGGGAAUCACAAAAAAGACAAAAAUGGCUGAAAAAGCCUCCGAGGCAGGGUGGGGAAGCCCUGCAGCCCGGGUUGCUCGCGGGCCACCGCUGGGGAGGGGACAUCGGAGCCGAUGGGCGCCCGAAGCACGGCAGCUGGACGGACGGACCUGUGACCGGCACGCCACGGCGGAGCCCGUCCUCCUACUGUCUGCCUAGAAAACAGGCUAUAAAUGCCUCAACGCCCUCCAAAAUCCAUCCCUACUAACUUAGGGGACAGGUUUCAUCGUCCAAAGCAACACAGUAAAAAUCAUUACUAAGUGACUAAGAGCUGCAAUUUCUGAAGCUUUUCUCUCCUACAAGCCUGCAAGGACCAAGUGCCGGACGAGCGCCCCAGGUCCAGGUGUUCGACCUCUCCGGGCACGACUACAAAACCGCGAGAUAUCUUCGAACGUAUCAACUUAAAUCACAUUUUGAAAAGGGAACUCGGGCCCUUAGGUCACUUCACACUUUGGAUGGUUUUAUCUCCCAUUCCUGCAAAACCCAGAUGACUCUGCGCGCGGGCCGGAGAGCCAGCACCGCUCCCUUCCGUGACGGCCCGGAGAAACGCCUUUGCGGGAGCCAUCCGUCAUCUUCGGGCGCUUUUGUUCCUCUAAGUGCUUCGAUUCACAUUCGCACUUCGCUCCACCAUCCAUAAUCAGGAGCUUUCGGCCUCAAUUGCGCCGCCAAAACCUGCAGAAGCAUUCAGUCCUACGAAAGGGGUUUUCAACGCCUACAAACUCCCUCUCUCCGUUCGCUGUCAGCUUGUUUGCAGAAACUCGGUGCCAUUAGGUUUCCUGACGGUACAGAAGAGCUAUCGAGAAAAAGCUACGGAAAAAAUGGUUUUAUGCAGAACUGGCACAGGGGAGAAAGCCCUGGCCGUGGGCUGCUUCUCCUGUUUCUUCACCACCACCGCAGCUUUAUUCCCGCGCUGCCGUACGCGUACAACGUCACAGCGGCUGCUUCUGCAGGACGGAGCGGGCCGUUUCCCCGCACCUCUGCUCCGAAGGUGAAGCUUAUGGUUUUCAGCUUUCGACUUCACGAUCUCUGUAGCUGAAUGCCCAUUUUUGAAUAGCUAAUAGUGGAAAAAGUAAACAGUAGCAAUCCUAGGAGACAGGUACCUCAGAAGCAAUCAUUUCACCUGAAAACUAAAUGUGAUCAAGAAUCACUUAAGCGAUUCGUCAGCACCGCUCCGCAGCAGGACUCGCCGGCGCUGCUUCCCUGGCUGCGGGCCAGCUUUCUUUGGGAAAGCACGGAAAGAUGUAUUUUUAACGUUUCAUAAAGUGGUUUUGUCUUCCCCUAGAUGGAUGGAACAGGAAAGGGGAAAAAAAGGCACUUUGUAAUUGUAACACUAAAUCUGCUUCUAUCAGAGCCCGGAUCGGCGUGCCGGGGCUCUGAGCUGAUUUAUGGCCCUGCUUCAGGAGGGGGAAGCAGGGAAAGAAAAAAGAAAAGAAAAAGAUCAAGCGCUGAUCCAGACUCCACCUUGGCUCCAGUUGCCACUUAUUUAACAUUUCACACUUCCCGGGUAGAAGUAAUAACGCCAGGAAACCCCCCAAUAUUUUUCUUCAUUCUCCUCCCUGCUCUAUGUACUGCUCCCAGAAGACCUCACAGACUCGAAACUCUUCAGAGCUAUUUUUCGCCUUAGGAAACCAGGGAGGUUUUCAGCAUUUCAGAUGUUACGUCCUUUGCCUUAGACGCGCUGGGACAGCUCCUGACGUCCCGCGGGGCUUCGGCAGAGCCGCCCGCUCAGGGCCACCGGCAGCCCUGGGUUUCAGCCAGCGACAGCCAGCAGGACUUCAGAGCAUGCAGGUCCAGGCAGCGAUACGAUGAACGAACGGCUCGAUAAGAUAAACCCCCCCCUUCCUGUGGAAGCGCGGUUCGCCCUCGCCCCUCCAGGAUCACCAACAUUUGAUGCCAUCUGAAAGCAAACAAAACCGUCCCGGAGCGACGGUCGAGACGGAAACACUCUGGGCUUCUGCCGAGGAGUUCAGCCCUUGCAAUCUGCCCCGUAAUUCGGCUUGCCAUUCCUGGCACCUUCAGGAAACGGGCUGGAUUUUGAAAUAACCUUACCGAACAUCAACUCGGCGCUAUUGAAAUGCAGAGCGCGGCGAAGACUGAUGAUCUCGGGCAGCUCCGGAGACAACAACCCGAUCGCCCAACGCACGGGUAUUCAUUACCGCUAAUUCUCUCUUAUUGGAGAAGAAGGAGGAAAAGAAAAGCGAGCGGUCAACAAGGAAACAAAGCCCUCUUUAGCAGCCCAGCUUGCCAAGCCGCGUCCGAUAAGAGCGGUCCAGAAAGCGGGCAGAAAGCGAGGACCGCCAGCCGGCCGGCAGUGACCCGGCGGGCAAAGCUCGCUGCAGCCGCCUGCCAAGAGGCGCCCGCGGCCAGGAGCGAGGCAGCCGCCCAGCAGCCUGCAAGGCAGCCGCGGCAAAAAACCAGCCUGGGAACACCAGAAUAAGUCAGUGCAGGGCUGACCCGGGAGCCAGCGCUGCUGGCACCCAAAGCUUCGCUCCUGCCCCAACGCCGCGCUUGCAGAGCUGCCCGGGGACCAUUUGAGAGCAAACAAGCAGAACGCACCACUACUUACACACGCAUUUUUUUUUAAACACCUGUAGUCAAAUAUAAGCUUCAUUUUAUACCAAUUAAUCCUAUAGCCAGCGAUUUUCUUCUGCUGCUCUUCAGCUACUUGGGAAAUCCUCCCGAAAGAGCGCUCGGGGUUAAACGGGGAUUACGUUGUUUAGCGAGGCAGUUAUACUGCCUCCGAUAAGAGGAUCUAAUCCUGAAUGGAGAAGCGUCAGCUCUACGGAUAUUUGCAAGCAAAAAUUAAAAUGCUGAUAGCGUCCGGCGCGUGCCUUAUCCCGAAGGAGCGGAAGAGAGGUAUUUGAUCUGACUCUGUCUGAGGAAGGAGAGCGGGGCUCCGUGGUCGAAGGCAGCAUCGCCUGGUACCCAGGAGCAAGCCGAAACGCGUUGGCUUCCUUCAGAGCCUGGGAGUUUCUCCUACCACCUGGAUGAGGCCCGCAGCCGCGGAGAUGACGCCGACGUCCCAUCACGGCCAGCUCCAGCUCCAGGCUUUAUACCGGCACCACCGGCUCCCCUGAUGCUGGGGCGAGAUGCAGGAAAAAAAAAGCAGGACCACGGGAAGAGUCUCCAGACAUGACCGAGCCAAAGCAACACUGGAGAAGAAAAUCGCCGGGACUUCAGCGCAGACCGGCGACACACGGUCCCUGUUGGACUGCUCUGGACCAUCUUUUUUAUUUAUUUAUUUUUUUAAAUGUGCACGGAGCCCAGGGAAGCGGCUCAUACGUGAAGGAGAUCGAUUCUUCUCCCACUCACCGAACUCUUCAUGAAGAGUUAUUCAAAUCCAAUGAUUUUUCUUCCCUUUUUGUAUUUAGCAUAUUGCAGCCACAGGAUGGCGGAAAAUAAAAAACCCAUCAGAUUGA
This is a long non-coding RNA of Dromaius novaehollandiae (emu), 10131 nucleotides long. RefSeq lists it as uncharacterized. The record is from RefSeq and is a predicted model, not a curated record. Lineage: Eukaryota; Metazoa; Chordata; Aves; Casuariiformes; Dromaiidae. The transcript has 2 exons.